This is a small nucleolar RNA of Myotis daubentonii (Daubenton's bat), 121 nucleotides long. RefSeq annotates it as small nucleolar RNA SNORA61. The record is from RefSeq and is a predicted model, not a curated record. Lineage: Eukaryota; Metazoa; Chordata; Mammalia; Chiroptera; Vespertilionidae.
UUUUUCAAAAUGCUGACACGCAUCGGAUCUGAACACCGAUCUUGGUGGUCGUAGAGGAGGAAAAGUAAUAGUGAAGCUGGCCUCACAGUGCCUACAGUCUGUGGGCUAGUUUCAAACAAGG